This 439-nucleotide ribosomal RNA is filed under the name uncultured bacterium. Its description in RNAcentral is "partial 16S ribosomal RNA". It matches the Rfam family "Bacterial small subunit ribosomal RNA", at positions 339 to 795 of the family's 1533-position model. The record is from RNAcentral.
CUACGGGGGGCAGCAGUGGGGAAUAUUGGACAAUGGGCGAAAGCCUGAUCCAGCAAUGCCGCGUGAAUGAUGAAGGCCUUAGGGUUGUAAAGUUCUUUUAGUUGGAAAGAUAAUGACGGUACCAACAGAAAAAGCCCCGGCUAACUCCGUGCCAGCAGCCGCGGUAAGACGGAGGGGGCUAGCGUUGUUCGGAAUUACUGGGCGUAAAGGGCGCGUAGGCGGAUUAGUAAGUUGGGAGUGAAAGCCCGGGGCUUAACCUCGGAACUGCUUUCAAAACUGCUAGUCUUGAGUGAAGUAGGGGAUGAUGGAAUUCCUAGUGUAGAGGUGAAAUUCUUAGAUAUUAGGAAGAACACCGGUGGCGAAGGCGGUCAUCUGGACUUCAACUGACGCUGAGGCGCGAAAGCGUGGGGAGCAAACAGGAUUAGAUACCCCUGUAGUC